GACGAACGCUGGCGGCGUGCCUAAUACAUGCAAGUUGAGCGCUGAAGGUUGGUACUUGUACCGACUGGAUGAGCAGCGAACGGGUGAGUAACGCGUGGGGAAUCUGCCUUUGAGCGGGGGACAACAUUUGGAAACGAAUGCUAAUACCGCAUAAAAACUUUAAACACAAGUUUUAAGUUUGAAAGAUGCAAUUGCAUCACUCAAAGAUGAUCCCGCGUUGUAUUAGCUAGUUGGUGAGGUAAAGGCUCACCAAGGCGAUGAUACAUAGCCGACCUGAGAGGGUGAUCGGCCACAUUGGGACUGAGACACGGCCCAAACUCCUACGGGAGGCAGCAGUAGGGAAUCUUCGGCAAUGGACGAAAGUCUGACCGAGCAACGCCGCGUGAGUGAAGAAGGUUUUCGGAUCGUAAAACUCUGUUGGUAGAGAAGAACGUUGGUGAGAGUGGAAAGCUCAUCAAGUGACAGUAACUACCCAGAAAGGGACGGCUAACUACGUG
RNAcentral lists this ribosomal RNA (497 nucleotides) under uncultured bacterium. Its description in RNAcentral is "partial 16S ribosomal RNA". It matches the Rfam family "Bacterial small subunit ribosomal RNA", at positions 28 to 507 of the family's 1533-position model. The record is from RNAcentral.